Myotis lucifugus (little brown bat) is the source of this 104-nucleotide small nuclear RNA. NCBI's taxonomy places the organism in Eukaryota, Metazoa, Chordata, Mammalia, Chiroptera, Vespertilionidae. The record is from Ensembl.
GUGCUCACUUUGGCAGCACAUAUACUAAAAUUGGAACAAUAUAGAGAUUAGCAUGGCCCCUGAACAAGGAUGACACGCAAAUUCAUGAAGCGUUCCAUAUUAAA